GGAGUUUGGACCGUGUCUCAGUUCCAAUGUGGCCGAUCACCCUCUCAGGUCGGCUACUGAUCGUCGCCUUGGUGGGCCGUUACCUCACCAACUAGCUAAUCAGACGCGGGUCCCUCCUGUACCGAUAAAUCUUUUCCAACAUGAAGAUGCCAUCACGUUGGCUUAUGGGGCAUUAGCAGUCAUUUCUAACUGUUAUUCCCCUGUACAGGGCAGGUUACCCACGCGUUACUCACCCGUCCGCCGCUAAGUCAACAAAUCGUCACCCCGAAGGGAUCGUGAUAAGUUGCUUCGUUCGACUUGCAUGUGUUAAGCACGCCGCCAGCGUUCAUC
This 330-nucleotide ribosomal RNA is filed under the name uncultured Clostridia bacterium. RNAcentral's name for it is "partial 16S ribosomal RNA". Lineage: Bacteria; Bacillati; Bacillota; Clostridia. The record is from RNAcentral.